UACUGACAGGUUAUGAGAAAUGACAUUUGGGUGUAUUCCCAGCAUGUCAAAUGGUACCCACGCAAACAAAUCUCUAUUUUCGAACAACACAUGGCCGAUAUCUCUAACAUGAUCUUUGCUUAAAUUCUUCCCGAUUAACGUGUGUUUAUCCGGCUCAUCUCCUAACCCGAACGGUUGGGUUUCACCCAUGGGUUCCAUUCGGUCUUCGUUA
Molecule: long non-coding RNA, 211 nt
Filed under: Vigna radiata
Lineage: Eukaryota; Viridiplantae; Streptophyta; Magnoliopsida; Fabales; Fabaceae
Description: long non-coding RNA (VRAD_LNC005456)
Source: RNAcentral